RNAcentral lists this transfer RNA (41 nucleotides) under Urtica trichantha. RNAcentral's name for it is "partial tRNA-His". The record is from RNAcentral. Lineage: Eukaryota; Viridiplantae; Streptophyta; Magnoliopsida; Rosales; Urticaceae.
CGGAUGUAGCCAAGUGGAUCAAGGCAGUGUAUUGUGAAUCC